AUGUGUUAUCGGCAAAACCGGCGCAAACCGGCGACGCAAAGCUAUAUGGGCCCACCGGGUCAGCCAGCUGCCAAC
Molecule: non-coding RNA, 75 nt
Filed under: Firmicutes bacterium CAG:129
Lineage: Bacteria; Bacillati; Bacillota
Also listed under: 1 other name
Description: c-di-GMP-I riboswitch aptamer
Rfam family: c-di-GMP-I riboswitch aptamer
About the family: GEMM was predicted in a large-scale screen for bacterial structured RNA regulatory elements. Genes associated with GEMM are involved in a diverse array of functions, including chemotaxis regulation, signal transduction, secretion and chitin.
Source: Rfam by way of RNAcentral